CCUACGGGAGGCAGCAGUGAGGAAUAUUGGUCAAUGGGCGGGAGCCUGAACCAGCCAAGCCGCGUGAGGGAAGAAGGUACAGCGUAUCGUAAACCUCUUUUGUCAGGGAACAAAGGCGGGGACUAGUCCCCGGAUGAGGGUACCUUACGAAAAAGCAUCGGCUAACUCCGUGCCAGCAGCCGCGGUAAUACGGAGGAUGCGAGCGUUAUCCGGAUUUAUUGGGUUUAAAGGGUGCGCAGGGGGCCUGUUAAGUCAGAGGUAAAAGGCCGGGGCUAAACCCCGGCGAGCCGUUGAAACUGGCGGGCUGGAGGUGGAGAGCAGUACGCGGAAUGCGCGGUGUAGCGGUGAAAUGCUUAGAUAUCGCGCAGAACCCCGAUUGCGAAGGCAGCGUACCGGCUCCAAACUGACGCUGAGGCACGAAAGCAUGGGUAUCGAACAGGAUUAGAUACCCGAGUAGUC
RNAcentral lists this ribosomal RNA (459 nucleotides) under uncultured bacterium. RNAcentral describes it as "partial 16S ribosomal RNA". It matches the Rfam family "Bacterial small subunit ribosomal RNA", at positions 338 to 795 of the family's 1533-position model. The record is from RNAcentral.